Molecule: long non-coding RNA, 580 nt
Filed under: Gallus gallus (chicken)
Lineage: Eukaryota; Metazoa; Chordata; Aves; Galliformes; Phasianidae
Source: RNAcentral
AUACAGUAAGACCUCACACAGAUCCCUUAGGAAUCCUUCUUCAUCUUUGGGAGAAGUGCAGACUAGGUCACGACAGACUUCUUUUUCCAUUUCAACUUCAACCUCAAAGAAUGUAUCUACAAGUUCCUCAGCUUGGUCUUUCAUCUGAUCACCUUUCUCUGCUAUUCUUUGCUGAGCUUUUCUAAAAACUCGAAGAUGAGUGCCGAAGUCAUCAACAAGUCGUGUAGUGAAGUAAGGCUGCCAGUCUGUUUCCUUUGACCUAUCAAAGUGACCCAUGAAAAUUAAGUAGUUUAUACAAAGAAUACAGAGAGCAAUUAUAAAUUUCUACUUCUCAUUCCUCCCUGCCAAGAGUCAGUGAUAACAAACACAGAGAGUGAGGAAAUUAAAAAAACCUCCUCAUCUCCUGUUCACCAAAACCAAAGAAAACAUUGUAAAAUAUUGUUCUUAUAUCUACAUAUUAAUAUUUAUGCUUGAAUUACUUUCAAGUGAACACCGAUACCUAGAGUAGUGUUCUGAAUCAUAGAAUCACAGAAUGGCCUGAGUUGAAAAGGACCAUAAUGAUCAUCGAGUUGCAUUCAGG